AUGACCGAGGUCAGGACGCUUUUUACCGACAUUCGCCUCACUCCAAACCAGCAGCUACCCAGAUCGAUGAUGAGCAACGCCAUGAUAGUGUGUGCAUCCGCCGGAUCAUCGGCAGGGAGCCAUCAUCCCUCGCCGAUCCCUCACCACGCUGUUAGACGUCAACCGACGACGGAUCAGGGUGGGAUCCAGAUCGACGGUUGCAGCCGCACCCACCAUCGCCAAGGAACCCGCAAGUUCUUGCUGGCCAUGGAGGUAAGCUCUGCCGCUGCAUGUAACGCAACGGUCCCGCUCUUCCUCGUCCUCGUCUUAGCCGUCGCUACCAUGGCCAUAUCGGAGGAGGACACGACCACGCACAUCAAGGUGUACUGGCGAGACAUGUACAGCGGGCCGAGCCCGACGGCGGUGGAGGUGGCGCGUGCCGCCGUGCCCCGUCGACCAACUCGUCUAAGACCCUGUUUGGCGGGGUAUAUGUCAUCGACGACACGCUCACGGACGGGCCUGACCUCAACUCGUCGAAUCUGGUGGGGCGCGCGCAGGGCAUGUACGUCAGCUCCGGCAUGGACGAGCUGGCGGUGCUCAUGA
This 582-nucleotide ribosomal RNA is filed under the name Triticum aestivum (bread wheat). RNAcentral's name for it is "partial small subunit ribosomal RNA". The record is from RNAcentral. Lineage: Eukaryota; Viridiplantae; Streptophyta; Magnoliopsida; Poales; Poaceae.